UCUUCACACAAGACAAGACUGCUGCAUUAGAGAGAUUUCUUUCACAUCUUUGACCAGACUGUUGAAGAUCUGCCAUGGGACCAGGCGGACCAGGAGGACCCGGACCAGGAGGACCAGGAGGACCAGGCGGACCAGGAGGACCCGGACCUAGUCUUGGAUGGGGACCCGGACCUGGUCCUGGAUGGGGACCAGGACCUGGAGGGCCAGGGCUCUUGCCACCCAUUGGAGGUUUCUUUUCUGGAUUUUCAGACAUGAUAUGUUCCUGGUAAAGACAUUCCCUGGUUCUAUUGUUUUUUGUCAUGUAUUUCGAGUUAAGAUAUGUAUGUUGAGUCUUGC
This 336-nucleotide long non-coding RNA is filed under the name Eutrema salsugineum. RNAcentral describes it as "long non-coding RNA (ESAL_LNC001022)". The record is from RNAcentral. Lineage: Eukaryota; Viridiplantae; Streptophyta; Magnoliopsida; Brassicales; Brassicaceae.